This 465-nucleotide ribosomal RNA is filed under the name uncultured bacterium. RNAcentral's name for it is "bacterial SSU rRNA". It matches the Rfam family "Bacterial small subunit ribosomal RNA", at positions 917 to 1382 of the family's 1533-position model. The record is from RNAcentral.
GGGCCCGCACAAGCGGAGGAACAUGUGGUUUAAUUCGAUGAUACGCGAGGAACCUUACCCGGGCUCGAACGGCUCUAGAAUAUAUCAGAGAUGGUAUAGCCAGCGAUGGCUGGAGUCGAGGUGCUGCAUGGUUGUCGUCAGCUCGUGCCGUGAGGUGUAGGCUUAAGUGCCAUAACGAGCGCAACCCUUGUUGUUAGUUGCCAUCAGGUAAAGCUGGGGACUCUAGCGAGACUGCCACCGUAAGGUGCGAGGAAGGGGGGGAUGACGUCAAAUCAGCACGGCCCUUACGUCCGGGGCGACACACGUGUUACAAUGGUGGAUACAGAGGGGCGCUACCCAGUGAUGGGAUGCGAAUCUCUAAAGUCCAUCUCAGUUCGGAUUGGAGUCUGCAACUCGACUCCAUGAAGUUGGAUUCGCUAGUAAUCGCGCAUCAGCCAUGGCGCGGUGAAUACGUUCCCGGGCCUU